This 207-nucleotide ribosomal RNA is filed under the name uncultured bacterium. Its description in RNAcentral is "partial 16S ribosomal RNA". It matches the Rfam family "Bacterial small subunit ribosomal RNA", at positions 568 to 774 of the family's 1533-position model. The record is from RNAcentral.
CGCGUAGGCGGUUUUGUUAGUCAGGCGUGAAAGCCCCGGGCUCAACCCGGGAACUGCGUUUGAUACUGCAAGACUUGAGGACGGAAGAGGAAAGUGGAAUUCCUAGUGUAGAGGUGAAAUUCGUAGAUAUUAGGAGGAACACCAGAGGCGAAGGCGGCUUUCUGGUCCGUUACUGACGCUGAGGCGCGAAAGCGUGGGGAGCAAACA